This 3498-nucleotide long non-coding RNA is filed under the name Sorghum bicolor (sorghum). Its description in RNAcentral is "long non-coding RNA (SBIC_LNC005244)". The record is from RNAcentral. Lineage: Eukaryota; Viridiplantae; Streptophyta; Magnoliopsida; Poales; Poaceae.
GGAUCAAGUUCUCCUAACCCGAAGCUUGCUCCUAGGAUUCUUCAGUAAUUCGACUUCUAAAUUCUAGUAAGUUCUUGUUUUAUUGUUCUUAUGGUUUAUGAGUUUACUUUAAUCUCUUCGCGUAGAGUUUAGAGUAAUCAUUGCUGGCGUAAACGUGGUGUUUAGGCUGGGGUACUCAUAGAUAUUCCCUGACUAGCUGGACCGUGGUAGUAGUGAGGAACGUGACAAUUCCGAGCUACCUUUGUAGAUCACAUCUCGUUAGCAGGAAGGAUAGGGUUUAUAGGUGCGGGUUGAACAUCCUUUGUGGUGUCUAGAUUCCGUUAGCCUCCCCAUUAGAACAGUAGAUCAUCCUUACCAAGGUUAGAAGGAGACUACGGUUGCAGUCUUCUCUAUUUAUCACUCACAUCGAAAGACAUUCUUUGUGCCUAAAGGUUAGUAGUAAUAGACCGGUUAGUUAGAUGCACUCUUUCUCCUAGUGGUAAAAAAAUAAAUACGAUACUCUGGAUAAUUUUCCGGGUGAAGUGCUCACCGAUAUCCGUGCGCUUGCGGAUCAAUUCCUUAUUGCGUUCCCAAAUAUCAACAAGCAUUUCUGGCGCCGUUGCCGGGGAGAAAGACGGUUGCUGAGAUAACCUGAGUCUUGCUAUUAGCUUGUAUCUAUACUUUUAUCUUUUUUAUCUUUUAUAUAUCCUUUAUUUAUUUUUCUUUAUUCUUACCUUAUGGAAAACCAAAAUUCUAAAUCGAUCCAUGAGUCUGCAAUCCCUUUAGCAAUUGACCUUUUACCAUGGGAAUCAUCACAGCCUAUCCAAACAUCCCAGUAUAAGUUAAGUUCUAGGUUGAUUGCCAUGAUUCAAAACCUAUCUUUUUCAGGAAAGGAAGACGAAAACCCUUACCUUCGUAUUAGAGAUUUUGAGCAAACAUGUGAUUGUCUUCGCAUUGAAGGCAUUUCUGAUAAAACUUUACGUUGGAAGCUUUUUCCUUUUUCUCUAAGGGGAGAAGCUAGACAAUGGUACAGUCAGAAGGUAAGUCAACAACAAGGUGAAUGGGGAGUUUUACGAGCCAACUUUUGUCUAGAUUUCUAUUCCCUUGACCGUAUAGCCGACCUUAGACUCGAAGUCCUAUCUUUUAAACAAAAAGAUAAUGAAACUUUGGGAAAAUCCUGGAAACAUUUUUCUGAUCUUUUAGAAUCUGGUCCAAACCUUAAUCUUGAAGACCCUGUUCUUUUAUUUCACUUUUUUCGAGGUCUUCAGAAAAAUCACAAACAAAUGCUUCACACAAUGUCUAGAGGUUCUUUCUUUCGCAUCCCUACUGAUGAAGCUAGAGUGAUCCUAGAUAGAAUCCUAGAAGCUGAGAUGGAUAAUACCCUUCAUGAUGAAACCUACGAAGCCGAAGUAGACACUCUGCCAAAUUCUUCAUCUACUUUAGCUAUCCCAAGUUCUGAGCCACAAGAGGAAGAAAUUCCACUACCGGACUUCAUGCUGGAUAUAGAAUCCGAUCUUUUUGCCGAUUUUGGAAAUAUUUCAAACUACCAUUCUAUUGACAAACCCCAAAACGGCCAGUUUAGCAAUUAUUUGCCGAGUGAAUAUCAAUUGAGAGAGCUUAUCUCAGUAAUGAGUAGCGAAUGGUUGGAGGAAUCAGAGCUUUCCUCUGAUGUGAUCCGUUUGGACACACCCUCUAUAACUAUACGCUGUGCUUAUAAUUCUGAUCGAUUUAAUGCUCUCUAUAAUCCUGUUGUCGGUAUCAACAUCAUGUCUGAAUAUUUUGCACUUAAACUAUUUAAAAAUCUUGUCUUAACCCCCAGAACAAAGGUCAUAAAGGAAUCUUCGGGACGAUUGGUCCCCAGUCUUGGAAUUAUUAAUAUCCUACCUCUUACGGUAGAAGGCUCCAUGGUUCAUUUGAACUUCUAUAUCUUUGAUACAUGGGACUUUGACCUGUUAAUAGGACAACCUUUUAGAAGACUCCUUUAUGAAGGUCAUACUGGAAAGCUACACAUUUCUUUUGGAAAAACUUUUAAAUUCCCAAUAAUAAUUUCACACUCCUUAAACAAUAAGGUCGAGUCAUAUCUUUUGCCUAAUCCUAUGGAGGAGGUAAAGGCUGCAUCUCUAGAGCUUUUAGAUGAACCAGACAUAGAAGACGAAACUCCUUUCUUCACUGAAGAAGAAGACGAACCUUCUGAGCCUGAACCCUUAGAUGAGUUUGCGGAAACACCUAGACCUCCCAUAGAGCUUAAAACUUUACCACCCGGUCUUACCUAUGCUUUCAUAAACAAUAAUCCAGAGUUCCCUGUGAUCAUUAGCGAUAACCUCACUCAGGAUCAAACUCUGUGAUUAAUGACCAUUCUUGAGAAACAUCACUCAGUUUUCGGCUACUCAUUUCAAGAUCUUACAGGAAUCAGUCCUAUGAUUUGUACACAUCGUAUUCCAACAGAUCCUUCUGUUACACCCUCUCGAGAACCCCAACGUAGACUUAACAACACUAUGAGAGAGGUAGUUAAAAAGGAUGUUAUAAAGUUGCUGCAUGCAGGGAUUAUAUAUCCUGUGCCACACAGUGAGUGGGUGAGCCCAGUGCAAGUUGUGCCUAAAAAGGGAGGCAUGACUAUUAUUAUGAAUGAAAAGAACAAACUAAUUCCGCAACGCACCGUCACAGGAUGGCGGAUGUGCAUAGACUAUAGAAAACUAAACAAAGCCAUGAGAAAGGAUCACUUUCCUUUACCUUUUAUAGAUGAGAUGCUAGAGCGGUUAGCAAACCAUUCGUUCUUCUGUUUUUUAGAUGGAUAUUCAGGAUAUCACCAAAUCCUGAUCCAUCCCGAUGAUCAAAGCAAAACCACUUUUACAUGCCCUUAUGGAACUUAUGCUUAUCGUAGAAUGUCUUUUUGGUUAUGUAAUGCACCAGCUUCUUUUCAAAGAUGCAUGAUGUCUAUAUUUUCUGAUAUGAUUGAAGAGAUUAUGGAAGUUUUCAUGGAUGAUUUCUCUGUUUAUGGAAAAACUUUUGAUAGUUGUCUUGAAAACUUAGACAAGGUUUUGCAAAGAUGUGAAGAAAAGCACUUAAUCCUUAAUUGGGAAAAAUGUCAUUUUAUUGUUCUUAUGGUUUAUGAGUUUACUUUAAUCUCUUCGCGUAGAGUUCAGAGUAAUCAUUGCUGGCGUAAACGUGGUGUUUAGGCUGGGGUACUCAUAGAUAUUCCCUGACUAGCUGGACCGUGGUAGUAGUGAGGAACGUGACAAUUCCGAGCUACCUUUGUAGAUCACAUCUCGUUAGCAGGAAGGAUAGGGUUUAUAGGUGCGGGUUGAACAUCCUUUGUGGUGUCUAGAUUCCGUUAGCCUUCCCAUUAGAACAGUAGAUCAUCCUUACCAAGGUUAGAAGGAGACUACGGUUGCAGUCUUCUCUAUUUAUCACUCACAUCGAAAGACAUUCUUUAUGCCUAAAGGUUAGUAGUAAUAGACCGGUUAGUCAGAUGCACUCUUUCUCCUAGUGGUAAAAAAAUAAAUACGAUACUCUGGAUAA